Non-coding RNA from Musa acuminata subsp. malaccensis (wild Malaysian banana), 70 nucleotides. NCBI's taxonomy places the organism in Eukaryota, Viridiplantae, Streptophyta, Magnoliopsida, Zingiberales, Musaceae. The record is from Rfam.
UUAGUGCCUAUGAUGGUUUUAAAUAUACUACGAGUGACUACAAUGAUAAGGACUUUAUCUGAGGCACAAU